CCUACGGGAGGCAGCAGUUGGGAAUAUUGCGCAAUGGGCGAAAGCCUGACGCAGCGACGCCGCGUGAGGGAUGAAGGUCUUCGGAUCGUAAACCUCUGUCAGCAGGGAAGAACGGUCACUGUGCUAAUCAGCAGUGAAUUGACGGUACCUGCAAAGGAAGCACCGGCUAACUCCGUGCCAGCAGCCGCGGUAAUACGGAGGGUGCGAGCGUUAAUCGGAAUUACUGGGCGUAAAGCGCUCGUAGGCGGUAUGUCAAGUCAAGGGUGAAAUCCCCGCGCUCUACGUGGGAACUGCCUUUGAAACUGGCAAACUGGAGUGUGUGAGAGGAUAGUGGAAUUCCAGGUGUAGGAGUGAAAUGCGUAGAUAUCUGGAGGAACAUCAGUGGCGAAGGCGACUAUCUGGCACAUAACUGACGCUGAGGAGCGAAAGCGUGGGUAGCAAACAGGAUUAGAUACCCUUGUAGUC
RNAcentral lists this ribosomal RNA (465 nucleotides) under uncultured bacterium. RNAcentral's name for it is "partial 16S ribosomal RNA". It matches the Rfam family "Bacterial small subunit ribosomal RNA", at positions 338 to 795 of the family's 1533-position model. The record is from RNAcentral.